GACGAACGCUGGCGGCGUGCUUAACACAUGCAAGUCGAACGGAAAGGCCCUGCUUUUGUGGGGUGCUCGAGUGGCGAACGGGUGAGUAACACGUGAGUAGCCUGCCCUUGACUUUGGGAUAACUUCAGGAAACUGGGGCUAAUACCGGAUAGGAGCUCCUGCUGCAUGGUGGGGGUUGGAAAGUUUCGGCGGUUGGGGAUGGACUCGCGGCUUAUCAGCUUGUUGGUGGGGUAGUGGCUUACCAAGGCUUUGCCGGGUAGCCGGCCUGAGAGGGUGACCGGCCACAUUGGGACUGAGAUACGGCCCAGACUCCUACGGGAGGCAGCAGUGGGGAAUAUUGCACAAUGGGCGGAAGCCUGAUGCAGCAACGCCGCGUGCGGGAUGACGGCCUUCGGGUUGUAAACCGCUUUCGCCUGUGACGAAGCGUGAGUGACGGUAAUGGGUAAAGAAGCACCGGCUAACUACGUG
Molecule: ribosomal RNA, 468 nt
Filed under: uncultured bacterium
Lineage: Bacteria
Description: partial 16S ribosomal RNA
Rfam family: Bacterial small subunit ribosomal RNA
Source: RNAcentral